Vanessa atalanta (red admiral) is the source of this 301-nucleotide long non-coding RNA. RefSeq lists it as uncharacterized. The transcript is spliced from 4 exons. NCBI's taxonomy places the organism in Eukaryota, Metazoa, Arthropoda, Insecta, Lepidoptera, Nymphalidae. The record is from RefSeq and is a predicted model, not a curated record.
UUUAAUACAUCAUUAGCAAAUGAGUUAAAAAAUAAUCUCGCUGCAGUUGCCAAGCCCAAUACACCUCAAAAUAUAGUUCCUUUCAUGAAAGACAUGGUCGAUAUAUGCUCAAGCUAUCUCGCUCAAUAUGCUGAAUUUAGCAAAGAUAAGGGGCCAGCCUUUAGGAUUUUAUUGAAAGAGAUGGGUGUAAAAGACAAGGAAAAAUUAUACCAAAAAGGAAAAGCCCAACGUACUUAUGCAAAAGCUGCAAACGAAUUAAAAAACGCUAAAGGCUUAGAAAGCGAUCACGAUGACCCUAACU